UAAAUGAGGUUUGUGUUUAUAAUAGUAGUCUUGUGGGGUGGAUUUGUUUAAACUAAUGUAAUCGUCUACUUUAAGCCAGGUUUCUGUGCAUCUAAGUUUUGGUCAGUAAUUAUUUCAUUAUUAUUUCAUUGACAAUAGGUUCUUUAUUUGUAAGCGAUCUAAUGUUAAGGCGGCCAAAUUUUAACAUUCGAGGUUCAUCUGUAAGUGUAUUGUUUUCUAAUUUUAUGUUAAUAAGAUUUGUACGAGAUGAGGUAAACGGUGCUCUGUAUUUGUUUGUUCGAGGAACGAACCUAGUUGAAAUGUGUUGAUACUCUGGUAAGAUGUGCUGGGAUAUAUGUGAUCUUGACAUGUCAAGGCAGCUAACAGACGGACGGGUAAGCCGAUUUAUCUGUUUCCUGACCUGGGCCUUUGGUAGUCAGACUGUAUUAGAAGUAAGAGUAUUGGUCAGAUUUCUAGAGAGUAUAGCAUUUCCUUCCGAUGACGGAUGAAGGCCAUCUCUCUUUAGCAGGUCAGGUCUCCCCCUGAAAUACUUCCAAUUGUUAAUAAACCCUACGUUAUGCUGAGGGCACCAUUUUGACAUCUAGUCGUGAAGAGAAACUAAUCUGCUAUAAGUUUCAUCACCCUGGUAGGCAGGGAGGGGACCAGAGCAUAUAACAUUAUCUGACAUUGUUUUUGCAAUUUCACACACCUCUUUAAUAGUAUCUUUGGUGAUCUCCGACUGGCGGAGUCUGGUGUCAUUUGUGCCGGCAUGAAUAACAAUUUUAGAAAACUUACGCUUAGCAUUGGCCAGCACUUUAAGUUUGGAUCUAAUGUCUGACGAUCUGGCUCCCGGUUUACAGUCAACUAUGGUGGCUGGUGCCUCAAUGUUCACGUUCUUGAGUAUCAAGUCUCCAAUAACCAAGGCACUUUUAACAGAUGUCUCAGCCGGUGUAUUGCUUAGAAUGUUGAAUCUGUUAGAAAUUACUAGGGGGGUCUUGGGUGGGCAUCGGAUAUGACUAUGCCCACCCAGCACAAGACGUCAUUUAGACGUUGUUUUUUGGGCUAAAUCACGUCGGCCCGUCAUGACCUUCAUUUAGCCCAAAAAAAGACGUUGAAAACGGGUCUUUGUUUGGUCCGUCUAAUUCAGUCCAAAUUUAGCCUAAAAUUAGACGUCUUUUUCGGACCACUUUUCAACGUGUCUCCAUUCAAUAAUAAUCCUGACAAAAUAUGCAUGAAUGUAUAAAUACUGAGCACAUUGAACGAUAAUGAAACACAUGCUUUGUUUAAAGUCUAUUAAUAUUUCUGUUUAUUUUAAUUAAAUAAAUAUGUUAAAUGUGCUCUAAACAGGUAAUUUCGGUCCUGUACAACACUGACAGAAGCACUUCAUUUUCAUCUUUUAACAAAUAUCUUUAUUUUUUUUUUAAUAUGAUAUUAUUGGCAGAGGCGCGCGUCCGUCUCAUGCUUUGUGAUCACGUGAUUAUUCAACGGGGAGACGCGCGUUCUGGAUUUACCGAUUUUCUCCUCAGACAAGUGUUUCUGUUUUGUGGUCGAUUCUGGGGUAAGUUUCCUUAAAUUCGUGGUUACUUUAUUGAAAUUAGUUCACAGGGAUGUUAAUUCAGUUGUCAGUAUAUGUCGAUACGACUAAUAAAUGAUCAAUUUGAAUGUUUAUCGUUUGUUAGUAAUGUUCAAGCGCUGUCAGCUUGACUGAGCUCGUCGCGCAGGUGACGAGCAGGUCAGUUAAUGGAAAUCUUUUAUUUGUCUUUAUAUCUUCUAUAUAAUUGUGUUAUGCUUGUUUUUAAAUGUAUUUUAAAUUGUUUAGUUAAUUAUAAUGCAAGUUUACUCCAAGUAUUGUAGUGUGGGCUUUUUUCAGCUUACGGCUAGCCUGAUUGAGCUCGUGGCACAGCUGUGAGCUAGCAGUUAACAUCCUUUUCUUGGUGUGUUGAUGUUUUCUAUUGGCUAAAGAGUAAGUAUUACUUUGUUCAUAUUUUCACAGCCACCAGAAUCAGAAGUAAGUGCUCAAAAGUAAAAUAGCAUGUUGGCCUCUUCAAUGCAAUGAUAAAUAAAAUAGUUAUAACUAAUGAAAUAGUCAUAUCUCACUUUGACUUUAUGUACAGUUUGCUCGAGGUCAAAACACAGCUCAUUCAUACAAAUCAAACAGUGACACUGGCUAUAUGUCUGCUUUCUUUUUUAUAGCAAUAAAAGCAUAGAGAUAUAUAAAGCAAAGACAACUAUAAGAUAAUCCUUCAGGAGCCAGUAAAACAUAUACAGUUACAGCAGUAAACAUACUUGUUUUGGGGUAAGAAAAACUAGUACAGUGUAGAUAUGAAUUAUGGUAUCCUAAGCACUUCUCUUAUUAUUGCUUCUGUCUUGUUCUUGAUUUUUUGUAGUGCAAAUAAGGAGAUUUAGAGUAAGUACAAAUUGAGCUUUUAGUACUGACGUGAAUGUUACAUCGCCAUUCGUUUGAAAGAAAUAGAAAAGUGCUACGUUUUAUUUUGUACCACCAAACUUGCUCGUAUAACUACGAUAAUAAUAAUGAUGCUGCUGUUUACUCCAUUGUAGCAAGUCUCUGUGAAACUGACAAUCUCAGGGUGGAACUGCUGGUUUGUGGUUGGCAGUAUGGAUCACGGUCUGCGACUCAUGAGGAGCUGGUCUGGAGACAUGAAGAGGUUUUCAACAGAGGUCUGAAGCUAAUACCUGCCACGGUCUGAUUGGUAUUUCAUGAGGAAUCAUGGGUUCCUUGGUAUUUGAAUUAUGUUGAACCAGGCAAGUACUCCAUCUUUCGAUCAUGUGUUCUGUCUACUUACACAUUCCUAGCCAGAAUAACAUUUCGUGCUCUUAGCUUAGACUUCUCAGCGUGUGCGCAUAUCUCAGGUCAGAUAUGACUAUUUUCUUAUCUUCACUGGUCAAUGAAAGUUUGUCUUAAAAGUCAAUAAUGUAUGUGGAAAUUCUCUCCUCUUUGCAGGCCAUCCAUCCAAGAUCAUCUAUCUGUUGGAGCUUUGUGUCACUGACUGUAUUUCUGCAAAUUCCUGUUUCGUGUCACAUUGCUUAUGCAAGACUGAAACCAUAAAGGUGAUGGUCUGUGGAUACUGUGGGCGAUUCCUUCUGCUGUCAUUUAAACAUGAGGAGGAGUAAUGACGGGUUUAAAUGGAUGCAACUAAUAUUAUGCCAGAGUCCGCUGCUUAUGCUGUAACCAUAAUGCAUCCAGGACAACACACCUGGAGUGACUGAGAGCAGGAUGAAGAAAGAAUUGGAUGAGAAAAUGUCAACUGGUGCCCAUGAGGAGACAUAUUGUUCUUGGACCUGCUUUUUCUGUUUAGUAAUAAGUGGUUUUAUGUGGUUACAUAAAAGUAAUUUAAUAUUCAAUCCACAAGCUAAAUUUCCUACAUUUUCUUAAAAGGGUAGUUGACCCAAAAAAGAAAAUUCUGUCAUUUACACAAACAGUUUGGUUACAAACAUUUCUCACAAUAUCUGCCUUCCUGUUUAUCAGAACAAAGAAAUUUAUGCGGGUUUGUAUCAACAUGAGAGUGUGUAAAUGAUGGCAUAAUUUUCAUUUUUGGGUGAAGCACCCCUUUAACAUUUUUAUACCCAGGGGUAGGGGUGUGCAGCGGAGUCAAUAUUUGUAUCUGUAACAGUCUCAAAAUUAUUUGUAUCUGUAUUUGUAUUCGGAUGGAACCGGAAGUGGGCGUGUCUUAAACCGGAAGUUUGUCAUAUUACAUUAAAAUGGCAUUUUAAAUGCAUUUUUGCUUUUUAUUAUAAUUAUAACUUAAAUAACUGUAAAUAGUUAUUAAAAAUAAUAAUACAAAUUUUUUAUCAAAAAGACAAAUAACUUGAUUCUCGUUAGUAAUACUCAUGGAAAGCAAACAACUCAUUUUUAAAGCCUCAUACAGCUUGUGCUAUGCAUCAUUGUAUUGUAGCAUUAAAAUAACAAACUUGAAAGCACGUUGACAAAACUGUAGGCUACAUCACCUUUAAAUGUUUAUUGUGCCUGUCAGCAGAGUUCCAUGUGACCCAUUCUGCCUAAAUGAGUGCGAUGUUUUCAGAAAAAAUAAGUAGCCUACAUUAAUCCCUAGUCUAGCGAUUUAAAUAUAGUAAUUAAUCAUCUAAAAUGAUCGUUAUUUGUACGUUUUCUAAAAGAGUGAAAUAUAACCUAAUACUACUCAUAUAUCCGUGUCUGACAUCUUGGUUUCAGUUUAAAAACAUGCAGGAAUUUGAAAAUAAAAUGCAGGACUUGCUUGAUGUUUAAAGAGCUAUUAAGGGAGAUAAAGUUCGGGAACUGAUUUAUGUUAAAAAAGUUAUUAAGAUGACAAACUCGCGCUGACUGACAGAUCCGAAAUGCAACGCAGAGACACGCAAGUGGCGCAGUAUAUGCACAGAAUAGUUCAAAAACAUCUGUUUUGAUAAGAAUUUACGAAAGCAUAAUAAGCAUUAGAACAAACUUGCUGAGCUCAUUUUUAUCUAUGUCCAUAUAGCGUUUGCGCGAAUAUAACCAAUUGUUUAAAAAAACUUUCUUAUUAAUCUUCAUCUAAAUAAAUAAAUAAUCAGAUAUUUGUUCAAAUUUUUAAAUAACAAUAUGCUCUAAAAAUCAGUUUUGACUUAGUUCAAAACCAGCAACAUGAUUUAAAACAAUAAUGUAAUUAGAAAUAUUUAAUUAAAAUGUUUCAGUUGUUAUUUGCUUACUUUAUUUUUAUAUUAAUUGCAAUUCAUGUCAUAGUAUUCUUCAGUUUAAAUUUUGCUUUUAAAAUGUUACAUUUUCAUAUUUUUAUCUAUUUACUUAUUUAUUUUAUAUUCACCUAGAUUGACAAUAAAGCUUUCUUCGAAUAGAAGUAAUUAAAAUAUCAUCUACCGGUGCCACAGAGAUACAGAGUUAUUAACGAAUAUUUUAUUAUCAGAGUGCAGCAUUUUAUCAAGGUUUUCUGGUCUAAUUAAAUAAAACUGAAUUUUUUUUACAGUUGGGUUAAAAGAAGUUUGAUAUUAGCAGCGUUUUUAAGAUUUUAAACUAAUUCCAAAACAGCUCGCGUUUCUAAAUAAGGGUUGCGCCGAAAAUGUCAUUUUAUAGAUUGCACUCAUUCACUUCACACACAUAUUAUUCGUGCUUUAAGGGGUUUAUAAUUUAGAGCUGUUCCAGUAAACACGUGAUUAUGUCUGGCCGAAUAUUUUCUCUGUUAUUCGGAUGAAUUUGUUAUUCGUUUUGAAGCUAUUAUCCGUGUCCUUCCGAAUAACGUAUUCGGCUUCGGGCACAUCCCUACCCAGGGGUAAAAGAAAUGUAUGUUAAACAUUUUUAGUUAGUCUUUUUUUGUUACUGCUACUUUCAACAAGACUAAUUAUUCAGCCAAGCUUAUUUUGUACUUUAAGAAAUGAACAGCUUUUAUGUGUUUUAAGACACAGAUAUGUGCUCACAGUUUGCCCAUAGAAUGCCCAGUGGUCCCAUAAUUUUCCCGAAGUAUGUGUAUUUAAAUAAAUUUUUCCACACAGUA
Misgurnus anguillicaudatus (oriental weatherfish) is the source of this 5453-nucleotide non-coding RNA. NCBI's taxonomy places the organism in Eukaryota, Metazoa, Chordata, Actinopteri, Cypriniformes, Cobitidae. The record is from RefSeq and is a predicted model, not a curated record.